RNAcentral lists this long non-coding RNA (1432 nucleotides) under Mytilus galloprovincialis (Mediterranean mussel). The record is from RNAcentral. Lineage: Eukaryota; Metazoa; Mollusca; Bivalvia; Mytilida; Mytilidae.
UCUGGAGUGUGAUAGGUUUGCUAAUGCAGUCAAUAAAUGGACAAACUUUGAAAGAGCAAGUGAUUUAAUUACUGUAAUUUUUCCCAAUAAUGUGAGUUUUCGAUGUUGCCAGCUCUUCAGAAUUGCAGAGACCUCUUUAAUUUUCUUAGCAAAAUUAAUUUCUGUGAUACAGCUUAAAUCUAAAGAAAAUUCAAUCCCCAAAAGUUUAAAAUUUUAAUGUCACCAAUGAAGUUUUAAGUUGGGACAUAAAAUAAGAUCAGAAUAUUUUUACUUCCAACCCAUAGUGCCUUUGUCUUUGAAGCAUUUAUUUUAAAACCUGAAAUUUUAUAAAGAGAUUCAAAACAUGAAAGUGUUUCCCUCAAUGAUAUUUCCCUUCCAUCUAACAUAAGGAAUGUGUCAUCUGCGUACAUGCUUAAAAGUGAUUCAUUAUCAUUGAUAGUAAUUCCCCUUUAGGUAUGUCAGAAGGUUAUUCAGAAUUUCAAAAUAUAUCUGAAUUCAUUAAGUCUUCAUUGGAAUUAGCUGGGUUUUUGAUAAAUGAACAAAAAUUUAUCUUUGAUCCAGUUCAACGCUUAGAAUGGCUCGGACUAAUUUGGGAUUCGGUAAACUUUAGUUUAGCAAUGUCCGAACGUAGAUUAAAUGAUGCAAAAGAAUCGCUUGACAAUAUUUUGAAAAAAAAUCUCAUUAUAAGUGCUCGUCAGUUAGCACAGUUCACAGGUAGAAUUAUUUCUAUGUCCCCAGUUAUGGGCAAUGUCACUAGCCUGAUGACGAGGCAUUUAUAUUUUGCAAUUGAGGACAGAAAGUCAUGGGAUAGUAUUUUAGAUAUUGCUUACACUGAGUGUGUAUUAGCAGAGUUGAGAUUUUGGUCAGACAGUUUGACAAAUCUUAAUCAAAAGAAAUUUGUGAAUGCCACCUACAGGCGCUCGUCUCAGAAUUUGUUUUCCCUGUAUACUUUAAAGGCUUUAUAUAACACUAUAUAUUCUAGUUAUCGUAUGAUUUUGGCUCGUGUUUCUCGUGCUUGUUGUUUGAUAUAAAUUAAAUGGAAUUUAUAAUGUUAUUAUUCGAAGUUCUACCUUACGCCGGUUAGCGUACGCCAUACUACUGCAUUGCCCUAUUAACCCCCUACCCCAACCCACUAUCAACAAGACCAUCUAUUAUUUUCAUGUUGAAAGUUGUGAUUUAUUUACAAUGAUUCGUUUAACUUGUAUUUCUUGUUUUGUAGAUUGGUAUAUAUUUGUAUUUAUUAUAGAUGGCUGACUGUGAUCGAGCCAGUAUGUUUUUAGUGUCUCAAUAAUGAAAAUAAGCAGUAGUGUGAUUGAAUGACUUUAAAACGAACUGUUUGAUUUAAAUUAAUUAUACAUUCGUUAAUAAAAGUAUGCUACCCUCACAAGGAGAGCUCAUUUCUGAUACAUGAGUUUUAUUGUAUAAAUUAUUU